This 442-nucleotide long non-coding RNA is filed under the name Lathyrus oleraceus (garden pea). RNAcentral describes it as "Pisum sativum (pea) long non-coding RNA (PSAT_LNC003322)". Lineage: Eukaryota; Viridiplantae; Streptophyta; Magnoliopsida; Fabales; Fabaceae. The record is from RNAcentral.
AAAGAUAGUGAGUAGUUUUUUUUUCUUGUUGAAAAUUGAAGUUGUUAUGGAAGGAGGGAGAUGGAUCCUACACGAAAAAGAGAGAGACAAGUGGAAAAGGUGGGCGGCUGUGCUUUUGUGAUUUUUUUUUUUUGUAAUAAGCAAACAUUGACUAUAUAUACAUACUACACUAGGGUUUUAAUAUUUAAAUGAAUACCAAUGAUAUCCUCAUCUUUUGAAUUUUAUUCUAAACUUUAACCAAUCAAAAUUACAUAUUUUUAUAAAAUAAAACAAAGUAAAAAUAGUGAAAUGAAUCAAAACUAGUAAUGAAAUAAAAUUCAAAUAGUUUAAAAAAACAAAUAAAACUUAAAACUUAAAUUUUUUUUUAUGAAUGUUUUUGAUGAAAAAAUAAAAAUAAAAAGGAUAAAAAUAAAAAAUAAAUUGGGUGCGAAAAUGGUCAAAA